RNAcentral lists this ribosomal RNA (278 nucleotides) under Bifidobacterium myosotis. Its description in RNAcentral is "partial 16S ribosomal RNA". It matches the Rfam family "Bacterial small subunit ribosomal RNA", at positions 1 to 278 of the family's 1533-position model. Lineage: Bacteria; Bacillati; Actinomycetota; Actinomycetes; Bifidobacteriales; Bifidobacteriaceae. The record is from RNAcentral.
UUUUGUGGAGGGUUCGAUUCUGGCUCAGGAUGAACGCUGGCGGCGUGCUUAACACAUGCAAGUCGAACGGGAUCCCUGGUUUCGGCCGGGGUGAGAGUGGCGAACGGGUGAGUAAUGCGUGACCGACCUGCCCUGUACUGCGGAAUAGCUCCUGGAAACGGGUGGUAAUGCCGCAUGCUCCAAUGCACUGCAUGGUGUGUUGGGAAAGGUUUUUCCGGUAUGGGAUGGGGUCGCGUCCUAUCAGGUAGUCGGCGGGGUGAUGGCCCACCGAGCCUAUG